Cyprinus carpio (common carp) is the source of this 8696-nucleotide long non-coding RNA. NCBI's taxonomy places the organism in Eukaryota, Metazoa, Chordata, Actinopteri, Cypriniformes, Cyprinidae. The record is from Ensembl.
CCCAUUAUCACUUGCUUUCAACGGCAGUAUUUCAUAAGACUGCAUGUUUAGGGAGGAAUGCACUGUUGCUUGGUAUAUCCAGUUUGGUUAAAGGAGGAAUGCAUUAAAAAUGCACCGCCACCGGUUUGUGUCAUGUGACUCAAAACAGAACUAAUAAAAAUGUGAAAUUUGAGGAAAGCAGUUAUUUCCAUUUAUCGAGGGACUUACAACUUCACCUGUGUGUGAACAAAAUGGAUUGGGUGGUCUAUUUGACAGCUACCAAGAUGAGUAGAAAAACACUGACAAUUGCAUUGUUAAGUUUAGUGUUUUGUAGCGCAUCAGCUGAGUCAGCAAACUCACCUACAACUGAAUCUAUGACUGUCACAUCAUACUCACCUGCACAAACGACACAAUUCUGCUUACAACUGACACAACAGCAUAUACAAUACUGUUCAACAACAACUGAAACUCUGUUUACAACCACUGCCAAACCAACACAAACACCUGAAUCAACAAACUCACCUAUAACUGCAACAACUGAAUCUACGACUGUUAGAACAAACACAGCUACAACUAAAACUCGGCUUACAACUACAAGCCUUCCUACAGAAAAAACAACACAACUCACAACUGAGCAAUCAACUACAUCUGAACAAAGCACCACAAUGCAGUCAGCAAAUUCAUCCCUACCUACAACAAGUACAGCUCAAUCUACAACUGAGGUUACAACAAACUCACCCACAACUACAACUCUGCUUACAACUACAGCUCCUCCUACAGAAACAACAACAACACAACUUACAUCUACGGCUGAACCAAAAACCACAACUGCUGCAACAUCUACAACUGAACCAAAAACCACAACUGCUUCAACACCUACAACUGAACAAUCAACUACAUCUGAACAAAGCACCCCAAAGCAGACAACAACAUCAUCCCUACCUACAACACGUACAGCUCAAUCUACAACCCUGGUUACAACAAACUCACCUACAACUACAACUCUUCUUACAACUAAAACCCCUCCUACAGAAACAACAAGACUUACAUCUACUGCUGAACCAACAACCACAACUGCUUCAUCGUCUACAACUGAACUAACAACCAUAACUGCUUCAACACCUUCAACUGAACAAUCAACUACAUCUGAACAAAGCACCCCAAUGCAGACAACAACAUCAUUCCUACCUACAACAAGUACAGCUCAAUCUACAACCCUGGUUACAACAAACUCACCUACAACUACAUCUCGGGUUACAAUUACAGCCCCUCCUACAGAAACAACAACAAAACUUACAUCUACAGCUGAACCAACAACCACAACUGUUUUAACAUCUAUGACAGAACAAUCAACUACAUCUGAACACAGCACCACAACGCAGACGGCAACAACUUCCCUACCUACAACAAGUACAGCUCAAUCUACAACCCUGGUUACAACAAACUCACCUACAACUACAUCUCGGGUUACAAUUACAGCCCCUCCUACAGAAACAACAACAAAACUUACAUCUACAGCUGAACCAACAACCACAACUGUUUUAACAUCUAUGACAGAACAAUCAACUACAUCUGAACACAGCACCACAACGCAGACGGCAACAACUUCCCUACCUACAACAAGUACAGCUCAAUCUACAACCCUGGUUACAACAAACUCACCUACAACUACAUCUCGGGUUACAAUUACAGCCUCUCCUACAGAAACAACAACAAAACUUACAUCUACAGCUGAACCAACAACCAAAACUCUUUUAACAUCUACAACUGAACCAACAACCACAACUGCUUCAUCAUCUACAACUGAAUCAACAACCACAACUGUUUUAACAUCUACAACAGAACAAUCAACUAUAUCUGAACAAAGCACCACAAUACAGAUGGCAACAACAUCACUACUUUCAAGAAGUACAGCUCAAUCUACAACUGAGGUUACAACAAACUCACCUACAACUGCAACUCUGCUUACAACUACAACACCUCCUACAGAAAGAACAAGAAUUACAUCUACUGCUGAACCAGCAACCACAGCUGCUUCAUCGUUUACAACUGAACUAACAACCAUAACUGCUUCAACACCUACAACUGAACAAUCAACUACAUCUGAACAAAGCACCCCAAUGCAGACAACAACAUCAUCCCUACCUACAACAAGUACAGCUCAAUCUACAACCCUGGUUACAACAAACUCACCUACAACUACAUCUCGGAUUACAAUUACAGCCCCUCCUACAGAAACAACAACAAGACAACUUACAUCUACGGCUGAACCAAUAAUUACAACUGUUUUAACAUCUACAACAGAACAAUCAACUACAUCAGGACAAAGCACCACAACACAGACGGCAACAACAUCCCUACCUACAACAAGUACAGCUCAAUCUACAACUGAGGUUACAACAAACUCACCUACAACUGCAACUCUGCUUACAACUCCAGGCCCUCCAACAGAAACAACAACAACACAACUUACAUCUACAACUGAACUAACAACCACAACUGCUUCAACAUCUACAACUGAACAAUCAACUACAUCUGAACAAAGCACCACAACGCAGACGGCAACAACAUCCCUACCUACAACAAGUACAGCUCAAUCUACAACUGAGGUUACAACAAACUCACCUACAACUACAACCCCUCCUACAGAAACAACAAGACUUACAUCUACUGCUGAACCAACAACCACAACUGCUUCAUCAUCUACAACUGAACUAACAACCAUAACUGCUUCAACACCUACAACUGAACAAUCAACUACAUCUGAACAAAGCAGCCCAAUGCAGACAACAACAUCAUCCUUACCUAUAACAAGUACAGCUCAAUCUACAACCCUGGUUACAACAAACUCACCUAUAACUACAUCACAGGUUACAAUUACAGCCCCUCCUACAGAAACAACAACAAAACUUACAUCUACAGCUGAACCAAAAACCACAACUGAUUCAUCAUCUACAGCUGAACCAACAACCACAACUAUUUUAACAUCUACAACAGAACAAUCAACUAAAUCAGGACAAAGCACCACAACACAGACGGCAACAACAUCCCUACCUACAACAAGUACAGCUCAAUCUACAACUGAGGUUACAACAAACGCACCUACAACUGCAACUCUGCGUACAACUCCAGGCCCGCCGACAGAAACAACAACAACACAACUUACAUCUACGGCUGAACCAAUAAGCACAACUGUUUUAACAUCUACGACAGAACAAUCAACUACAUCUGAACACAGCACCACAACGCAGACGGCAACAACAUCCCUACCUACAACACGUACAGCUCAAUCUACAACUGAGGUAACAACAAACUCACCUACAACUGCAACUCUGAUUACAACUCCAGGCCCUCCUACAGAAACAACAACAAAACUUACAUCUACAGCUGAACCAAAAACCACAACUGAUUCAUCAUCUACAGCUGAACCAACAACCACAACUGAUUCACCAUCUACAGCUGAACCAACAACCACAACUGAUUCAUCAUCUACAACAGAACAAUCAACUACAUCUGAACACAGCACCACAACGCAGACAGCAACAACAUCCCUAUCUACAACAAGUACAGCUCAAUCUACAACUGAGGUUACAACAAACUCACCUACAACUGCAACUCUGCUUACAACUCCAGGCCCUCCUACAGAAACAACAACAACACAACUUACAUCUACAACUGAACCAACAACCACAACUGCUUCAUCAUCUACAGCUGAACCAACAACCACAACUGAUUCAACAUCUACAACAGAACAAUCAACUACAUCAGAACAAAGCACCACAACACAGAUGGCAACAAUAUCCCUACUUACAACAAGUACAGCUCAAUCUACAAGUGAGGUUACAACAAACUCACCUACAACUGCAACUCUGCUUACAACUCCAGGCCCUCCUACAGAAACAACAACAACACAACUUACAUCUACAACUGAACUAACAACCACAACUGCUUCAUCAUCUACACCUGAACCAACAACCACAACUGUUUUAACAUCUACGACAGAACAAUCAACUACAUCUGAACACAGCACCACAACGCAGACGGCAACAACAUCCCUAUCUACAACAAGUACAGCCCCAUCUACAACUGAGGUUACAACAAACUCACCUACAACUGCAACUCUGCUUACAACUCCAGGCCCUCCUACAGAAACAACAACAACACAACUUACAUCUACAACUGAACUAACAACCACAACUGCUUCAACAUCUACAACUGAACAAUCAGCUACAUCUGAACAAAGCACCCCAAUGCAGACAACAACAUCAUCCCUACCUACAACAAGUACAGCUCAAUCUACAACCCUGGUUACAAAAAACUCGCCUACAACUACAUCGCAGGUUACAACUUCAGCCCCUCCUACAGAAACAACAACACAACUUACAUCUUCUGCUGAACCAACAACCACAACUGUUUUAUCAUCUACAAAUGAACCAACAACCACAACUGAUUCAUCAUAUACAACUGUACUAACAACCACAACUGCUUCAACAUCUACAACUGAACAAUCAACUACAUCUGAACACAGCACCACAACGCAGGCGGCAACAACAUCCCUAUCUACAACAAGUACAGCUCAAUCUACAACUGAGAUUACAACAAACUCACCUACAACUGCAACUCUUCUUUCAACUCCAGGCCCUCCAACAGAGACAACGCAACUUACAUCUACUUCUGAACCAACAACCACAACUGCUUCAACAUCUAAAACUGAACAGUCAACUACAUCUGAACAAAGCACAACAACAGAGACAGCAACAACAUCACCACCACCUACCACAAGUUCAGCACAAUCGACAACUGAGGUUACAACAAACUCACCUACAACUGCAACUCUUCUUACAACUCCAGGCCCUCCAGCAGAGACAAUGCAACUUACAUCUACUGCUGAACCAACAACCACAACUGCUUCAUCAUCUACAAAUGAACUAAUAACCACAACUGCUUCAUCAUCUACAACUGAACAAUCAACUACAUCUGAAAAAAGCACCACAAUGCAGACAGUAAAAACAUCCCUACCUACAAGUACAGCUCAAUCUACAACUGAGGUAACAACAAACUCACCUACAACUGCAUCUCUGCUUACAACUACAGCCCCUCCUAUAGAAACAACAACAACACAAUUUACAUCUGCGGUUGAACCAACAACCACAACUGUUUUAACAUCUACAACUCAACCAACAACCACAACUCCGUCAACGUCUACAACUGAACAAUCAACUACAUCUGAACAAAGCACCACAAUGCAGACAGCAACAACUACUCUACCUACAACAAAUACAGCUCAAUCUACAACCCUGGUUACAACAAACUCAGCUAUACCUACAUCUCAGGUUACAACUACAGCCCCUUCAACAGAAACAACAGAAACACAACUUACAUCUACGGCUGAACCAACAACCACAACUUUUUUAACAUCUACAACUGAACCAAUAACCACAACUGUUUUAAUAUCUACAACAGAACAAUCAACUACAUCAGAACAAAGCACCACAACACAGAUAGGAACAAAAUCCCAACCUACAACAAGUAUAGCUCAAUCUACAACUGAGGUUUCAACAAACUCACCAAGAACUACAUUUCAAGUUACAACUACAGGCCCUCCUAAAGAAACAACAACAACAAAACUUACAUCUAUUGCUGAACCAACAACCACAAUUGCUGCAACAUCUACAACUGAACAAUCAACAACAUCUGAACACAGCACCACAAUGCAGACAGCAACAACAUCCAUACCUACAACAAGUACAGCUCAAUCUACAACUGAGGUUUCAACAAACUCACCUAGAACUGCAACUCUACUUACAACUACAGCCCCUCCUACAGAAACAACAAUAACACAACUUAUAUCUACAGCUGAACCAACAACCACAACUUCUUUAUCAUCUACAAUUAAACAAUCAACUACACCUGAACAAAGCACCGCAACACAGGCAUCAACACCAUCCUUACCUUCAACAAAUACAGCACAAUCUACAAACCUGGUUACAACAAACUCACCUACAACUACAUCUCGGGUUACGACUACAGCCCCUCCUACAGAAACAACAACAAGAAAACUUACAUCUACGGAUGGAUCAACAACCACAACUGCUUCAUCAUCUACAACUGAAGAAUCAACUACAUCUGAACAAAGUGCCCCAACACAGACAUCAACAUCUUCCUUACCUACAUCUCGGUUUACAACUACAGCCCCUCCUACAGAAACUACAACAGGAAAACUUACAUCUACAGCUGAACCAAAAACCACAACUUCUUCUUCAUCUACAACUGAACAAUCAACUACAUCUGAACAAAGCACCCUAACACAGACAUCAACAUCACCCUUACCUUCAACAAAUACAGCUCAGACUACAACCCUGGUUACAACAAACUCACCUACAACUACAUCUCGGGUUACGACUACACCCCCUCCUACAGAAACAACAUCAAGAAAACUUACAUCUACGGCUGAACCAACAACCACAGCUACUUCAACAUCAACAACAGAACAAUCAACUACAUCUCAACACAGCACCACAAUGAAGACAGCAACAACAUCCCUACCUAUCACAAGUACAGCUCAAUCUACAUCUGAGGUUUCAACAAACUCACCUACAACUGCAACUCUGCUUACAACUAGAGCCCCUCCUACAGAAACAACACAACUUACAUCUACGGGUAAACCAACAACCACAACUGUUUUAAAAUCUACAACUGAACCAACAACAACAACUGUUUUAAGAUCUACAACUGAACCAACAACUACAACUGUUUUAACAUCUACAACUGAACAAUCAACAACACCUGAACAAAGCACCACAAUGCAGACAACAACAACAUCCUUACCUACAAAAAAUACACCUCAAUCUACAACCGUGGUUACAGCAAACUCACUUACAAGUACAUCUCAGUUUACAACCACAGCCCCUCCUACAGAAACAACAACACAACUUACAUCUAUGGCUGAACCAACAACGACAACUGUUUUAACAUCUACAACAGAACAAUCAACUACAUCUGAACAAAGCACCACAAUGCAGUCAACAACAACAUCCCUACCUACAACAAGUACAGCUCAAUCCACAACUGAGGUUACAACAAACUCACCUACAACUGCAACUCUGUUUACAACUACAGCCCCUCCUACAGAAACAACAACCACACAACUUACAUCUACAGCUGAACCAACAACCACAACUGUUUUAACAUCUACAACAAAACAAUCAAUUACAUCCCAACACAGCACCACAACACAGACAGCAACAACAUACCUACCUACAACAAGUACAGCUCAAUCUACAACCCUGGUUACAACAAACAUGACUGUUACAUCAAGCUCAGCUACACAAACGACACAAUUCUGCUUAAAAGUGACACAACAGCUGAUACAAUACUGCUCAGCAACAACUGAAACUCUGUCUACAACCACUGCCAAACCUACACAAAAACCUGACUCAACAAACUCACCUGCAUCUGCAACAACAGAAUCUAUGACUGUUACAGUAAACUCAGUCCCUUCCACAGAAACAACAACAACAACAACACAACUUACAUCUACGGCUGAACCAACAACUACAACCAGAGCUCAAUCAACAACAACCCCAGGCACAACCCAGACAGUUUUUGUUAGUUUUUCCAGCAGUGAAAUUUUUGUCUCUGAUCUGUCAAAUCCAGCUUCAGAAGCAUAUAAAAACAGAGAAAAGAAUGUCAACGAUACGUUGACACCAUUCUUUAGAAAUGCAUUGCCCUCCUUCAAAGGACUGGCAGUUAUUCAGUUCCGUAAUGGGUCAAUCAUCACUGAUAUGAAUGUGACAUUUGGAACCUUACCCAGUGAUGUUGAGAUAGAAAACACUAUUAUGAAAGCUAAUGCCACUCUCAGUAUCACCAGUGUAACAAUAUGGAAGCCCUUCACCACAACUACCAAAGCCACUACAACCAGUUCCACUACAAUUACAACUACAACCACACCUAACACAACAACAGCAGCAGCAACAACAACAACCACAACAUCUACUGUCAAUCCUAUUACAACAGCAACAACAACAACAACCACAACAUCUACUGCCAAUCCUAAUACAACAGCAACCACAGCAUCUACUGUCAAUCCUAAUAAAACAGCAACCACAACAUCUACUAUCAAUCCUAAUACAACAGCAUCACCAGCAACCACAACAUCUACUGCCAAUCCUAACACAACAGCAUCAACAGCAACCACAACAUCUACUGCCAAGCCUAAUACAACAGCAUCAACAGCAACCACAACAUCUACUGCCAAUCCUAAUACAACAGCAACAACAACAACAACAGCAACCACAACAUCUACUGUCAAUCCUAAUACAACAGCACCAACAGCAACCACAACAACAACCACAACAUCUACUGCCAAACCUAAUACAACUGUAACAACAACACCCACAACCACAACAACAACAACAACAACAACAAAAACAACAACAACAACAACAACAUCUACUGCCAAUCCUAAAACAACAGCAACAACAACCACAAUAACAACAGCAGCAACCACAACAGCAGCACCAGCACGUCCUCAGCCAACUGUUGCCAUACAGAUUGUCAUUAUAGAGGUGUUUGUUCCAGCACUGAAAGACCCUCAAACUCCGGAAUUUAAAAGCCUAGCCACAAAAGUAAUAUAUAGUAAAAUUCUAAAGCAAAACUCUGAAUUCAGUUUUUACUUGCCUGAAAGUUUUGGGAAGGAACUUUUUUCAAAAUGUUAA